Molecule: small nuclear RNA, 162 nt
Organism: Nannospalax galili (Upper Galilee mountains blind mole rat)
Lineage: Eukaryota; Metazoa; Chordata; Mammalia; Rodentia; Spalacidae
Gene: U1
Rfam family: U1 spliceosomal RNA
About the family: U1 is a small nuclear RNA (snRNA) component of the spliceosome (involved in pre-mRNA splicing). Its 5' end forms complementary base pairs with the 5' splice junction, thus defining the 5' donor site of an intron. There are significant differences in sequence and secondary structure between metazoan and yeast U1 snRNAs, the latter being much longer (568 nucleotides as compared to 164 nucleotides in human).
Source: Ensembl
AUACUUACUUGUCAGGGGAGAGACCAUGAUCAUAAAGGUGGUUUUCAUAGGGAAAUGCUCCUCCAGUGCACUCUGGAUGUGAUGGCCUCUGCCAUUUCCCCAAUGUAGGAAACACAACUGCAUAAUUGUCAUAGUGGGGGACUGUGUUUGCACUCUCUCUUA